This 21-nucleotide non-coding RNA is filed under the name Caenorhabditis elegans. Lineage: Eukaryota; Metazoa; Nematoda; Chromadorea; Rhabditida; Rhabditidae. The record is from RNAcentral.
UGAACAAAACUGGUAAAUGAA